This 84-nucleotide transfer RNA is filed under the name Fidelibacterota bacterium. RNAcentral describes it as "tRNA-Leu". It matches the Rfam family "tRNA". Rfam says of the family: Transfer RNA (tRNA) molecules are approximately 80 nucleotides in length. Lineage: Bacteria; Pseudomonadati; Fidelibacterota. The record is from RNAcentral.
GCCCGGAUGGCGGAACUGGUAGACGCACUAGGUUCAGGGUCUAGUAUCCAUAAGGAUGUGCAGGUUCGACUCCUGUUCCGGGCA